Molecule: ribosomal RNA, 536 nt
Filed under: uncultured Acidobacteriota bacterium
Lineage: Bacteria; Pseudomonadati; Acidobacteriota
Description: bacterial SSU rRNA
Rfam family: Bacterial small subunit ribosomal RNA
Source: RNAcentral
AGAGUUUGAUCAUGGCUCAGAACGAACGCUGGCGGCGUGCCUAACACAUGCAAGUCGAACGCGAAAGGGAGCAAUCCCCGGUAGCGUGGCAGACGGGUGAGUAACACGUGGGUAACCUACCCGGAGGUGGGGGAUAACCCUUCGAAAGGAGGGCUAAUACCGCAUGAUACCGCGGGGACCUCGGUCCUUGCGAUCAAAGCUGGCCUCUGUUUACAAGCUAGCGCCACCGGAUGGGCCCACGCCCCAUUAGCUAGUUGGUGAGGUAACGGCUCACCAAGGCGACGAUGGGUAGCCGGCCUGAGAGGGCGAUCGGCCACACUGGAACUGCGACACGGUCCAGACUCCUACGGGAGGCAGCAGUGAGGAAUAUUGCGCAAUGGGCGAAAGCCUGACGCAGCGACGCCGCGUGGAGGAUGAAGGUCUUCGGAUUGUAAACUCCUGUCGAGUGGGACGAAUGCCGUGAGGGUGAACAAUCCUUGCGGUUGACGGUACCGCUGGAGGAAGCCCCGGCUAACUCCGUGCCAGCAGCCGCGGUA